Molecule: ribosomal RNA, 253 nt
Filed under: uncultured bacterium
Lineage: Bacteria
Description: partial 16S ribosomal RNA
Rfam family: Bacterial small subunit ribosomal RNA
Source: RNAcentral
UACGGGGGGAGCAAGCGUUGUCCGGAAUCACUGGGCGUAAAGGGCGCGUAGGCGGCCCGGUAAGUAGGGGGUGAAAUCCUGCGGCUUAACCGCAGGGCUGCCUUCUAAACUGUCGGGCUCGAGCACGGUAGAGGCAGAUGGAAUUCCCGGUGUAGCGGUGGAAUGCGUAGAGAUCGGGAAGAACAUCAGUGGCGAAGGCGGUCUGCUGGGCCGUUGCUGACGCUGAGGCGCGACAGCGUGGGGAGCAAACAGG